CCACUCUCUUUUUUUCAGGGCCAGCCAUGACAUGAAAACCUGCCAGGACUGGAGCUGCACUUUUUCAGCACUCCUUCCACACCAUGAUGUCUGGAACCCUCUAGAACCACAAGGCAAAAUAAGUCCGUCUUCUUUUAAAUUGUUUGCCAAGUGUUUUUGUUGCAGUAGUACAGAAUUAAACAAAGCAGUCUGAAUAGACACAGAGAAGAGCUCCGGUAACACAACACACUAUACCUAGCAUGUCCCUUUGCAACCUGGGUUUCUCACAAGGAAGGAAAACAAGACUGGUCUUCAAAGAAGCAGCGUGAAGGUGUUGGGAUUCUGCUAAGAGGUGUUUAGCUGAUGUUGUAUGUGAAAUCACUUUGGAUCACUGAAGCAGAAUGAAGAAAGUAUCGGCCUGUGUCCUCGGUCCCUACAUGUAUUCCUUGGCAACAGACUCCCUACAACUGCUCGGUGGACACCGGUGAAUUGACUUCAUCUCCGUGGCUCUCAGACUUAAGUCUCCACAGUAAUAUGUAUGGCUCCUCUAUUGGACACAGCCCUCUACUCUGGAGUCACUGUUCCAAGUCUUCUCUGGCUGUUUUUGAAGAGGAACAGGUCAGGUGGACCAGAUAGCUGUCCUUCAUGCAUGUCAUGGU
Long non-coding RNA from Mus pahari (shrew mouse), 638 nucleotides. RefSeq lists it as uncharacterized. The transcript has 4 exons. Lineage: Eukaryota; Metazoa; Chordata; Mammalia; Rodentia; Muridae. The record is from RefSeq and is a predicted model, not a curated record.